GUGUAGCUCAAUGGUACAGCACAUGCCUAGCAUGCAUAAAACCCUGGGUUCAGUCCCCAGCAC
RNAcentral lists this transfer RNA (63 nucleotides) under Heterocephalus glaber (naked mole-rat). It matches the Rfam family "tRNA", at positions 5 to 66 of the family's 71-position model. Rfam says of the family: Transfer RNA (tRNA) molecules are approximately 80 nucleotides in length. Their secondary structure includes four short double-helical elements and three loops (D, anti-codon, and T loops). Further hydrogen bonds mediate the characteristic L-shaped molecular structure. tRNAs have two regions of fundamental functional importance: the anti-codon, which is responsible for specific mRNA codon recognition, and the 3' end, to which the tRNAs corresponding amino acid is attached (by aminoacyl-tRNA synthetases). tRNAs cope with the degeneracy of the genetic code in two manners: having more than one tRNA (with a specific anti-codon) for a particular amino acid; and 'wobble' base-pairing, i.e. permitting non-standard base-pairing at the 3rd anti-codon position. Lineage: Eukaryota; Metazoa; Chordata; Mammalia; Rodentia; Bathyergidae. The record is from Rfam by way of RNAcentral.